GUGCCUGAUAAAAGGGUUAUUUUGAUAGAAUAAAUCAUGUAAAUUUUUACCUUCAUUACAUUUA
Molecule: transfer RNA, 64 nt
Filed under: Habroscelimorpha dorsalis dorsalis
Lineage: Eukaryota; Metazoa; Arthropoda; Insecta; Coleoptera; Carabidae
Description: tRNA-Ile
Source: RNAcentral